UUCAAUUUUAAAUGAUGAGCAAUUAAAGAACAAGAAGUAAAUGAAGCAAUAAAAUGACAAGAAAGUAAAUUGACGGAAAUGUAAAUAAUUUGGAAUUUAAAUUGCAAGAAAAGUAAAGUAUAAGAAAGUAAAGUGAAAGAAAGUAAAGUAUAAGAAAAUAAAGUGUAAGAAAGUAAAUAACUAGAAUUAAGAAUGAAAAGAACAUUAGGAUCAAGAGAUGUUGCAUUUUCAGGAUCAAUAAUUUUCAUCUCCUCUUCAAUCAUGUAGUCAUUGAUCUCUUGGCAAAUCAUAAGUAAUUGAAUUCCAAUAUUUGGCAAUUCAAUUUCUCUUAGCUUGAUCACUUGAUAAUGUCUUGAUCUAAUUGCUCAUAAGAAGAGAUGAAGAUUGGUCUCUGAUUUAGAACCACAUAAUUUCAUGAAUAAAGUUAUGAGUUGAUUAUAUGUCACAUGUCAAUUUCAAACCCAAAUUCAUAAAAAUUGGGAGAAAGAUCUUCAAUCUCUAAUUCCAUGAUCCUCUUUCAAUUUCUCAUGGAAUUCAUGUGAGAUUCAAAUUCCUUUUUAAGACAUUUGAAUUUUUGGAAUUAAGAACGAAGAUCUUUCUAGAGAAACAAUAAUAGAAGAAUUGAAGAUGAAAAAUAAAAACAAAUUAAUCCAUUAAAUUGCAAUAGAUCUCUUUUUUCUAAUGUUGAAAAGUAGAGAUUU
RNAcentral lists this long non-coding RNA (701 nucleotides) under Arachis ipaensis. RNAcentral's name for it is "long non-coding RNA (AIPA_LNC001052)". Lineage: Eukaryota; Viridiplantae; Streptophyta; Magnoliopsida; Fabales; Fabaceae. The record is from RNAcentral.